UCUUAAUGUCGAAAAGUUGAAAACUUUAAAGAAAUUUAAAAAUACGUUCCUUGUAUUAAAAAGUUGAAAAUUUUGGGAAAAGGGGACACAUUCCGCGUUAAUCGAGAAAGAAAGCAUCAUAUCCAGUAAGUUAGGACACAAUGUCUCGAAUUUCCGAUACGCGAAUGAAUGCCAAAAUUUUAUUUAUUUAAAAAGAUAUUUUAUUAUCUCGGGUUUAGGAAAGGGAU
RNAcentral lists this long non-coding RNA (227 nucleotides) under Gossypium barbadense (sea-island cotton). RNAcentral's name for it is "long non-coding RNA (GBAR_LNC021221)". The record is from RNAcentral. Lineage: Eukaryota; Viridiplantae; Streptophyta; Magnoliopsida; Malvales; Malvaceae.